GGCAUAGUCGCUUGUUCUCCGCCCGCGGUGGACCAGCUGCGUAACGGUUCACACACUGAUGGCGCCUGGAGGUUUGGCGAAAUACUGACAGGAUGCGACGUCAACGGGAGCGCAGGGCCAAGAUACCCUUUAUAUCAAACCGUCUAUCCUGGAGCAGAAAAAUCCUGUCUUCAUUGCUAUAGCUACAGAUUCAGAAAUGAGCAUGUAACAAAUUCAGGCCAAAGAGAGGCAAUGGAAAUCAGAGAAACACUGUUCCUGAAAGCUUCUGUCACUCAAGAAUCCAUGAAACAUUCAUGAACUUCACAUCAGAAGCCAAGCCCAGAAAAUAUGGGUUUAAGGUUUGCCUAUAUGUCCAAUACAAGAGAAAAAAGAACAUUCCACUUCUUUAGAAGGUUCUACUUUGAUCUCCUGAUUCCAGUUGUGAAAAAAAAUUGUGCCUAAAGAAUAUAGUCCCUUUAUAGAAUUGUUUUGAAACCUACCACAGGUAUUUCUACACAGGAAGAUUUCUGUAUUUGUCUUCUUAACUCUUGAGUUUUGUUGUUGCUAAUAUUGGAUGAAGAGGAGACAAAAUGAUUGGAUCUAGAGGAGCACCGACAAGCAAAUGGCAGAGUCCUCAGAAGGGAAGAUAGUGUUAAUGUAGAAUUGAUAACACAGAAUGCACCACUGCUGUGAUCCUUAUAUCUUGGCUGGCCAUUACCCCUCCACUUGGAAAUGAAAAAGAUAAACUAAUUGAAGCAGUGAGAAGAGAAAAAGGGAGAGGAAGGUUCCUCUUUGCCUUCAACCAUGAGUAACAGCUCCCUGAGGCCUCCCCAGAAGCUGAGUAAUGCUGGUGCCAUUCUUACACAGCCUGCAGAACCGUGCUAUUGUGGAGGUGCAUACCCAACAGUUUGAUAAUGUAGAGGAAGUGAUAGCUUUGUCUCGUGGAAUCUGGGUCGACCUCACAGAGGAGCUGUUAUUUGUUCUGGAUAUUGAACAGUGACAAGGAUUCAGUGGGAGAGAAAGAGGCGAGGAUUUUAAUGCAACUUGUUACACAAGAUGAACCCAAACAUAUUUGACUUUUUAUUUUCAGAAAAGCUUAAUACAUAGUUUUGAAUAUGGAUUGUCCCACAGGAUAAAUGCAUGAAAAAAGUUGGAAAAGAGAAAUUGAAUUACAUCCUAAUUGUAGUGUUUUCUCAGGCAGAUCAAUUUUAGAAAGAGAACAUUGACUUGGAAAACUGAAGAGUAAUUAUUCUAAAACGGUUGUAACAGUUUACUCCUUUUAUGUUUGCAAACUUCCAGGAUUAGUGAGUUGCAUAAAGUCACAUAAUUUAUUGCGUUGGUGCAAAAGUAAUUGUGGUUUUUGCCAUUAACAAAACCGCAAUUACUUUUGCAUCAGCCUAAUAUAAGUGAAUAAAUUAAUAUUAGAACACAGGUCUAAUUAAAAGGUUCUGCUGUGUUGUGUCCUGUGAUAACACAGAAAACAAACAAAUGGAUAAUUACAGAAAAAUUUUGGAUAUAAAAUUAGCAGGUAAUUUUCUCCCUCCUUUCCUUCCAUCUUUCCAUCCUUCUUUGCUUCCUUUGCUUUCUUCUUUUCCUUUGUUUUUUGUUUCUCUCUCUCUCUUUUUUUUUUUUUUUUUUUUUUUUUGCAAUUUGGAGAAGGAAGUACUUUAAAAGAAAAGUUAAAAGGCAGACAUAGAUAGCAUGAAGCCUAAUUGCAAGAUCUUUUUCAAACAUAUUAGUUUUAGGAAAUAGCACCUGAAUUUAAGUCCCUUAAAAUUGUCUAUGUCUUCACGUCCAAGUCUCUAUAUUUGCAGGGCUGUGUACAAUCUAGACUGAACAUGCUUGACCUAAAAACAGAAGUAAUACCUGGGGCAAAGCACGAUGUGCACCACAGUCUUCUCUCUUUAGUGUGUUAAGAUAAAGUUGAUUCCCAGAGUAGCCUGCCAUCACUAACUCUGAGGGAUGGUGGGCUAAUUUUGAUAGAAGGAGCAGAGGUGGUAGUUAGGAGGAAGGUGACUCAUCAUCAUUGUAUCAGCAGGCAUUGAUGACUGGAAAUAUCAGGGGGCACAGCCUGAAAGAGAAUGGCUUAAUUGGAAUUGAUAGUGGGAACUUGGAAAUCAAUACAUAUGCACUGAACAGAAAAUGGUAUGCUAUAAUCUACUAUACACUGUAUGUGAAACCCAAGCUCCAAAUUUUUCGGCCCAUGCAAUGUCCAGUAAAAUUUCUCUUAGUUACAUUAUAAUUGCAAUGUACAUGUAUUUGAGGAAAAAAAAAGUGAAAGAAAAAGUAACUAAAGAAAAGUGGAAAUGCAAAACUUUGUUUUUAUUAAUGUUAAAAUUUAUUUUGAUCAACUUGCUAUUCUUAAAAUUGACCAAUCUUCUUCCCUUCCUUGCCUCUUCCAUGGUUUAUAGGAUUAUUUUUCAGGGCUGAUCAGUUGGUGUUACAUGUGACUACUAUGCUUAAUGCUAUCUGGCUUCUAACUUUAAGCACUGAAAAAAAGUCCUUCGUAUUUCUCAGUGUGUGAUUGAACUGAGAUGACCAUCCUAAGCCUCCUCAUUACAUAAAUCCUUACCUUCUCCAGAAGCAACGAAUGGUGUUGAGAAUAGCAUAUGUUACUACUCAGCCAUAUUCCAUAGCCUUUUCUCCAAGAUAUUUUUCCAAAGUUGCCCCUUUUCUGAAUCCCUUGCAAGCAAACAAACAACAAAACAAUGGGUAAUAAAAUAAUUGUUUAACUUUCAUUUAUAUGCUCUGAGAUUGAUGUGAUUUUGAUAAAUAACUAUAUUAAAAGACAAAUGGGAGUGGUGAUUUUGUGAAAAGCCCAUGCCUCUGCCCAUGGAAUAUGUGGCUUGGCCUGGAGCUCUUAUUUUACUUAUAUAUUUCUAAGCAGAAUUAUUCAAGAAUGUCUCUUAUUACAGGUCUUGAAACUUGGACAGCCAACAGAAAGGAAGCUAAUAAAUAAAUUUGUCAGAACACGAUUCUCAGUUUCACUUAUUUUGAAUUAAAGGUAACCUGGAAAAUGGAUUAGGAAAACAGCCUAUAAUCAGAGGAGUGACCCCAGUGAGACCCUGUCAUUAAAACUUUAGUGUUGAGCCUGCAAACCUCUGUUCCUCUGAUUAGGCAAUUUACUCCAUUUCCACCUUUCUGUCUGCCAAAACAUUUAGUGGCAAAACAUUUUCUAAUUCUCUAGACUCAUAAAAUGUUGUUUUGAAAAAAAGUAAAACAGAAUGGAUUACCUUUUUAAGCUGUCUAUCAUAAUGUAAUCAGAAAACAUGAGGGAUUAAUAGAUAAUAUUGUAAAGAGGCAAAGGCAGCAGAUGUUAUUUAGAUGAGCAGAAGGUCACAGACCUCUGUUGAGGAUUGAAAGCUUGAGGUACGUGCCUUUGUUCCUCAGUGUGUGUGGAUCAGAGUGAUUACUGAUAUCAGUUAGCAACAUGGUGGAGGGGACAAACUGGGGCUGCAUUUUCACUAUGUUUAUUAUUGCUCAAGGUCAAAAAGUGACUGUGUAGUGCCUCAGUUUUUACAUCUUUGUGUUAUCAAUAUUUUUUUCUAUUACCUUACAAGUUUAUUUUGAUGCUGUAAUGAUGAGACAGUGUUUUGAAAAGUUCUAAAUAAAUAAAAGGGUAUUCUCUAACUUUUAAAUUCUGACUUUGAUAUUUUAAAACUAUAACAGAGUUUCAAAACAUAUGGAGAAAAAACCCAAAUAGAACUCAAAAGAGAAAUGGACAAAUCCGUAAUUUCCAUCAUUAUUAGGGAUUUCAACAUUCCUCUUCCAGUAAUUAAUAAAACAAGCAGACAGAAGUUUAGAAAAACUAUGCAAGACUUGAACAUACUGUUAACCAAAUUGGCCCAGUCCUCCAAUAGUGGAAAUAAAAUGAAAUACUAAAAUAGUCAAACAAAAGGAAGACAGGACAAGAGUUGAACAAGGAUAAAGAAUAGGUGUGACAAAUGAUACAAAUAACAAUCUGGUAAAGUGAAAACCAGCCAUAUCAAUAAUAUAGUAAAGGAAAAUAGUCUAAAUAGAACGGAAAUGUUUAAGAUUUGAAGACUGGAUAUAAACCAAGCUUCAAUGUGAUGAUAUAUACAAGACAGAUAUUAUAAACAUAAAGAUAUAAAAAAUUAAAAAUAAAAGUGUGAAAAUCUAUAUGAUACAAACACUAACCAUAAGAAUGCUGGAGUGGCAUAUUAUAUCAGACAAAGAGAGUAUUAAAGUAGAUAUAGAAGAACAUUACAUAUUGAUAAAAGAAAAUGCCAGUUAGGUCAAGUUAUUGAUGGUAUUUAUCA
This 4259-nucleotide long non-coding RNA is filed under the name Homo sapiens (human). RNAcentral's name for it is "HSALNT0128497". Lineage: Eukaryota; Metazoa; Chordata; Mammalia; Primates; Hominidae. The record is from RNAcentral.